RNAcentral lists this ribosomal RNA (567 nucleotides) under uncultured bacterium. Its description in RNAcentral is "partial 16S ribosomal RNA". It matches the Rfam family "Bacterial small subunit ribosomal RNA", at positions 355 to 914 of the family's 1533-position model. The record is from RNAcentral.
UGGGGAAUUUUGGACAAUGGGGGAAACCCUGAUCCAGCCAUCCCGCGUGUGCGAUGAAGGCCUUCGGGUUGUAAAGCACUUUUGGCAGGAAAGAAACGUCGUGGGUUAAUACCCCGCGAAACUGACGGUACCUGCAGAAUAAGCACCGGCUAACUACGUGCCAGCAGCCGCGGUAAUACGUAGGGUGCAAGCGUUAAUCGGAAUUACUGGGCGUAAAGCGUGCGCAGGCGGUUCGGAAAGAAAGAUGUGAAAUCCCAGAGCUUAACUUUGGAACUGCAUUUUUAACUACCGGGCUAGAGUGUGUCAGAGGGAGGUGGAAUUCCGCGUGUAGCAGUGAAAUGCGUAGAUAUGNGAGGAAGACACCGAUGGCGAAGGCAGCCUCCUGGGAUAACACUGACGCUCAUGCACGAAAGCGUGGGGAGCAAACAGGAUUAGAUACCCUGGUAGUCCACGCCCUAAACGAUGUCAACUAGCUGUUGGGGUCUUCGGACCUUGGUAGCGCAGCUAACGCGUGAAGUUGACCGCCUGGGGAGUACGGUCGCAAGAUUAAAACUCAAAUGAAUUGAC